RNAcentral lists this transfer RNA (76 nucleotides) under Sporolactobacillus laevolacticus. RNAcentral describes it as "tRNA-Val". It matches the Rfam family "tRNA". Rfam says of the family: Transfer RNA (tRNA) molecules are approximately 80 nucleotides in length. Their secondary structure includes four short double-helical elements and three loops (D, anti-codon, and T loops). RNAcentral also lists the same sequence under 15 other names. The record is from RNAcentral. Lineage: Bacteria; Bacillati; Bacillota; Bacilli; Caryophanales; Sporolactobacillaceae.
GGAGGAUUAGCUCAGCUGGGAGAGCGUCUGCCUUACAAGCAGAGGGUCAUAGGUUCGAGCCCUAUAUCCUCCACCA